RNAcentral lists this ribosomal RNA (463 nucleotides) under uncultured Porphyromonadaceae bacterium. RNAcentral's name for it is "bacterial SSU rRNA". It matches the Rfam family "Bacterial small subunit ribosomal RNA", at positions 337 to 797 of the family's 1533-position model. The record is from RNAcentral. Lineage: Bacteria; Pseudomonadati; Bacteroidota; Bacteroidia; Bacteroidales; Porphyromonadaceae.
UCCUACGGGCGGCUGCAGUGAGGAAUAUUGGUCAAUGGGCGGGAGCCUGAACCAGCCAAGUCGCGUGAAGGAAGAAGGAUCUAUGGUUCGUAAACUUCUUUUGCAGGGGAAUAAAGUGCAGGACGUGUCCUGUUUUGUAUGUACCCUGAGAAUAAGGAUCGGCUAACUCCGUGCCAGCAGCCGCGGUAAUACGGAGGAUCCGCGCGUUAUCCGGAUUUAUUGGGUUUAAAGGGUGCGUAGGUGGUUUGAUAAGUCAGCGGUGAAAGUUUGCAGCUUAACAGAAAAAAUGCCGUUGAAACUGUCGGACUUGAGUGUAAAUGAGGUAGGCGGAAUGCGUGGUGUAGCGGUGAAAUGCAUAGAUAUCACGCAGAACUCCGAUUGCGAAGGCAGCUUACUAAGCUACAACUGACACUGAAGCACGAAAGCGUGGGGAUCAAACAGGAUUAGAUACCCCAGUAGUCUU